AGAGUUUGAUCCUGGCUCAGGAUGAACGCUAGCUACAGGCUUAACACAUGCAAGUCGAGGGGCAGCAUGAGAUUAGCUUGCUAAUCUUGAUGGCGACCGGCGCACGGGUGAGUAACGCGUAUCCAACCUUCCCCCUACUCAGGCAUAGCCCGGUGAAAACCGGAUUAACUCCUGAUAGUUUCACUAGAUGGCAUCUGACGGUGAAUAAAGCUCAGCGGUAAGGGAUGGGGAUGCGUCUGAUUAGCUUGUUGGCGGGGUAACGGCCCACCAAGGCGACGAUCAGUAGGGGUUCUGAGAGGAAGGUCCCCCACAUUGGAACUGAGCCAUGAUCAAACUC
This 337-nucleotide ribosomal RNA is filed under the name uncultured Prevotellaceae bacterium. Its description in RNAcentral is "bacterial SSU rRNA". It matches the Rfam family "Bacterial small subunit ribosomal RNA", at positions 8 to 338 of the family's 1533-position model. Lineage: Bacteria; Pseudomonadati; Bacteroidota; Bacteroidia; Bacteroidales; Prevotellaceae. The record is from RNAcentral.